AAUAUUUAACUUUAUAGAUUUUAAUAGGUUACUGGUAUUGAAGUGUGAGGCAUAGAAUAUCAGGGUGACAAUGUUUGUCUAAUUAUAAGUUUUUGUUUUUGUUUGUUUAAUAUUUAGUUUUUAUAUUAGUAUCAUGAGUGUAGUAGUACAAUAUAGAGUAGUUUACAACAACUACUUAUUAAUCGAUGAAUGCAUCAAUCAUAGAUGUAAUACCCAUAGAUAAAGCUCGCCAAAAGUUCCCCACUGUUCUCUAUUGUUAGAUACAAAGAACCAUGACCAAAUUGACUGUCUUUGAUGUUAUAUGUGUGUUGUACCCAAUCAAGUAACUCUAGCCAUAUAUCUUAUCUGUUAAUCUCAUUGACCAGUACAGCAUAAUAGAUUUUCUUAAAUGUCUUCUCGAGUUAUGUCCCUUCUGUUGUUAAUAUAUGUCUAUUUUUAGCGCACUGGACAGACAAACAGAAUGGUCAAAAAAUGGAUGAAAUCGAUCAAAAAUUCCGCAUUUUACGAGGGAAAUAUUGAACUAAAUUCAAAAAUGUAUUUUUUAGACUUGUGUCUUCAUAUUUCAUAAAAACUGUGUUCCUGUUAGUUCCUGAAAAUGGGAAUAGCACCUUUCUGUGCUUCUGAAAUACACCUUUUCUUUGAUAUGCUUCAUUAAGGUGUCGAACUGCGUCGAAUUUGGGAAAUAAAUAAUAAGAAAGUACAUUAUUUUCCUUUUUUCAUCAGUUUUUCUGGUUUUAAAAGGGAAAUUGUCUUUUUAAAAUCAUUUUUAUAUUUUUCAGAAUAAGUUAGUUAAUAUAUCAUAGAUGAAUUUUAUAUAUUUUAUGGCUAAUUACAAAAAUUAUAAUAAUUUCAUUCAAGUGGUUUAUGAAAUAUGUAUUUAUAAUUACUGUAAAGAGUUUUAAGUUUAGUGAAAUAACAAAACAUACAAUGCAUGGAAACUAAUUUUUGGAGCAUACAUAUUUUCAACUUGUUUAAUGUUUUCUAACAAUUAUAUUUUCAAUAAACUUGUUUAUAAAUAAUAGUAAAUAUUGUUAAUUAUAAGAUAGAGUUAAAUUGAGAUAUAAUUUAAACAGGAUCAAAACAAAAGUGCUGCCUAAAAAAGAAAAAUAUUCAUAUUUAUUAGUUUCUUUUCGAGAAUAAUUUGUUAUAUUGUUUCAUCUAAACAAAUAUUAUUUUUUUUAUAAUCAAGUCAAUAUAAAAUAUAUUUUUUUAUUUUGUUUCUUUCUGAUUUUUAGCAUGUUUAAUUGCUAAGUAACUUUUAAUUGUCAGUUUUCUAUUGUCAUGAUUGUAAAUCUGCAUCUCCAUGACCAACUGGUUCAUGUCAUUAUCAGAUAAGUGUGAAAGCCAUUACAACGCACAUAUAACCUUUGAAGUCAGGGUUGAGCUUCAUCUAUGGGUAUUACAUCUAUGCAUCAAUCAAGUAAUUUUCAUCACUGAUGAUUUGCCAGUGAUUUUUUGUAUCGAUCAGCGGAGUACGCAUACGCAAUAUGUAUUUCCUGUUCUAAAUUUAUCUACUUUUUUAUACACUACACGCUUGUCAUACGGUAAGAUAAACAAUAAUACAUAAUUCUUAUAUACUUAAAUGACUUAUUAUACGAAAUGUUUCUCGUUAUCAUAUGUUACCUCAAACAAUAUAGAUUAUCAUGUAAACUGCAGGUAGAUAUUCAUUACAUUUACAAAGAUGUCCAGAAGUCAGUAUAUAAGCCGCAAACAACUAAGUCAUAUAUUUAUCAAAGUACAGAGUACAUAUGCAAAUGACAGUAUACUAUAAAGAACCUCAGACCAAAAGUGAGAGGCCUUGGCAUGUUCUAAUACUAGAGAUUUAAUUUGUAACAUUAUUCGUCUACCUAGAUUUAGUGUUGGUUUUACUUUUGACUUUUCAGAUGUUAUUGACCCUUUAUAUUGUAAUGAUCUCGGUGUUAUCUCUCUGUGUAAAAACCAGUUGAAGGUUUGAUUGAUUGUUGGAGAUUGAACGCACUGUGGUCAAGUAUACAGCACACACACAAACGGAUUUUAACAACGUUCUAAUUCUAAUCGUUGAUUGGUACAUGUUUAAUUUGUUUUAUUUCAUUCAUGUAUUGUAAUAAACUAUAUAUAUACAUCCGUGUUUAUUCUCAAGAGAUUUAUCGAUACUAUGUUUCCGAUUCUACGUGAAUACUACUUGCGGAAGUCAUAAUCUAUAAACCUUUAGAAUUAUAAGCAACAUAAUUGUACUUAUGGUUAAGACUCUUGCCACAAGGAAAACUUAUAUUUCGAGCACUUGAAUUAGAAUACAAGUGACUUUUUAUUUACACUUCUGAUAGGAUUAACAUCACAUUUGUUUCAUAUCUUUGCUAUUUUCUACUAAAAAUUGAGGGAAAUAGGGAAUAUGCCAAAGAGAAAACACCCCGACCAAAGAGCAGAAAACAGCCGAAGCCUCCAAUGGGGCUCCAACUUCUGUCCGUUUUGUCGUGAUCUUUUAUCUAUGCCAUACCUAUGCUUGUACACACACAUAUUAAUUUAUAUUAUCAUUAUCAUAUAACUGCAUAUACAGUUUAAACUAUACAGAAAGAUUAACAUGUGUUGUGUUUGUUUAUAUUUUCAAGGUAAAUAGAAGAGAUGUUUUCUCUAAUUGGGAUAUUGGCUUUCAUUUUAUUUGGACUGGAGUCUUUCCAUUUUGUGGGACAUUGCUUGAUUAUGUUCCGAGUUCGUCAGUUACCAAGAAAAGAUUUCGUAAGAAUGCGUUUCUAUUUCCUGGUUGAUACAUUAACUGUUUUCCUGUCUUCUUUUGUUGUUUUGGGAAAGUUGCAGUGGUUAACAGGUAUCCAGUUGAUACAGCAUUUGUAUUAUUAUCUUAUGUGGGAAAAGACUGAUACUGCUAAAAAGGUAAACACACGUUAAUAUCUUAAGUAUCAGCGAGUGUUACAUGUAUAUGUAUAUGUAUACACACACACUAUUAUUCAUUUAAAAGUUAUGGAUUUUAGAAAAUCACACAAUUUAAAUGAGCAUAAUGAAAAGAGAAAAACUUGAAAACAAGUGUACAACAAAGUAAAAACCAUAUAUCAUGAGAAGAUCUUAAAACACAAUCGGCAAAGAGCUCAGUUGUGCAAAUAUAAGUUACAAAUUUACGACACUUUGGUGUUUCUUCUAAAGUUAUGAUUGCAAAUGAGACAACUAGACGUUAAGACCAAAUGGCAAAGAUGUCAAACAAUUACAGACCUGUCCAUUGACUGCCUUCAACCAUGAGGAAUCCCAUACUAUUAGUAUGCUUUAAGUAGCCCCGGAAUGAGAAAACGUAAAACAAUUAAAAAAAGAAAAAUAACUACUUAUUUUUACUACAACAAUAAACGUAAAACAAACAUAACAACAGACAGUAACAAUUGACAACCAUUAAAUUACAGGGUCCUAACUUGAUAUAGGCGCUAAUAGACUGAGACGGGUUGCGAACGUUUAAUUCUACCCGUAACUCCUUAUCAUAUAAGUGGGAGGUUUAGCUAGCUAUAAAACCAGGUUUAAACAACCAUUUUAUACAUGGAAAUGCCUGUACCAAGUCAGGAAUAUGACAGUUUUGAAGAGCUUUCGAUUUUGCCUUUGAUUAUGGACUUUCCGUUUUGAAUUUUACUCGGAGUUCGAUAUUUUUGUUUUUUACUUUUUCUGUUGUAACAAAACGAUGUAGUAGGCUAUUUGACACACAUUAGAGGAUAUACUCAACAUAUCUGACACAAAUAUACAUAGAAAUAAACAUUCAACUUACUGUUUUAUCUUCAGUCCGAACAUAUCAAAGCAUUUGAUAAAAAAAAUAUACAAAAUAACCAUAACACAGAAAUAUUCAAACGAAACAAUAUAUCAAUACAAAUUCCUAAUACUUCAGAAGAGUGUACAGUUAUUAUUGAUAAAUGCUUUUGAAAUUAUAGAUUGUAAGCUGGAGUUCUUUAGAUUGGACUAGGAGUACGAAGUACAAAGAAUGGCAUAUCUGGUCGAUUCUAGGCACAUUAUUUGACGUAUUUGUUCAUAUGGUCAUGGGUAUUUUGCUGUCCCAACAGCUCACAACAGUACAGAUCAUAUCCUCACUAUUAAUCGCACAGUCAUGGUUGAUUUAUGUUUUAAAUGUCCCAAAGUAUGCUUGGAGCAGCCCUUGGGCAACCCCACAGUGGGUGGAAAAAAGAAUUAAGCCAUUAGACAAGUAAUUUAUCUUUAAAAUUGAUUUUAAUACACGUAAGCUUCAAAAUAUAAAACCACUAUAGUACGAAUAUGAUGAGAGGACAUAUUUAUUUUUAAAAUACUGAUAAUGAAGAUAAUUCUUGUUUCGCAAAACAUGGUCGGAGAAAUAAUAUUCAUUGAACUAACGUUGACAAAUUGUUGAUUGUAAAUAUGAUCCACUUGGCAUUAUUAUUUUUCGCAAUUUUAUGUAAAUAAUUAAUUUGUACAAUAAAAUUUUUAUCCACAUGUUGGAUGUGGCACAAUCAAUAAGUUA
Molecule: long non-coding RNA, 4453 nt
Filed under: Mytilus galloprovincialis (Mediterranean mussel)
Lineage: Eukaryota; Metazoa; Mollusca; Bivalvia; Mytilida; Mytilidae
Source: RNAcentral